GACAGAGGAUGCAAGCGUUAUCCGGAAUGAUUGGGCGUAAAGCGUCUGUAGGUGGCUUUUCAAGUCCGCCGUCAAAUCCCAGGGCUCAACCCUGGACAGGCGGUGGAAACUACCAAGCUGGAGUACGGUAGGGGCAGAGGGAAUUUCCGGUGGAGCGGUGAAAUGCAUUGAGAUCGGAAAGAACACCAGCGGCGAAAGCACUCUGCUGGGCCGACACUGACACUGAGUGCGCGAAAGCCAGGGGAGCAAACGGG
Molecule: ribosomal RNA, 254 nt
Filed under: uncultured bacterium
Lineage: Bacteria
Description: partial 16S ribosomal RNA
Rfam family: Bacterial small subunit ribosomal RNA
Source: RNAcentral